CUCACUCUCACUCUUGCGAUUUUCAUCUGCGCGCUGCAUGCACCCACUGAUCGAGUCUCUCUCUUGCAAGAUCGACCGAUCGAUCUCAUCGUACACCUCACAGGCUUUCUGUGAAGAAGAGAGGUGCCGAGAAACCUGCUAAACAGCUUGCGAAGAAGGGGAAGGCUGCUGCCAAGGAUCCUAACAAGCCUAAGAGGCCUGCCAGUACCUUCUUCGUUUUCAUGGAGGAGUUCAGGAAGACGUACAAGGAGAAGCAUCCAAACAACAAAUCUGUUGCUGCUGUUGGUAAGGCUGGUGGAGACAAAUGGAAAUCCAUGUCAGAAGCUGUGA
Camellia sinensis is the source of this 330-nucleotide non-coding RNA. Lineage: Eukaryota; Viridiplantae; Streptophyta; Magnoliopsida; Ericales; Theaceae. The record is from RefSeq and is a predicted model, not a curated record.